CCCGAAACCCUAGCCGCCACCGUUCACUCGCCUGUCUCCUCUCUAUCGCUCUCCCCUUCCCACGACGCUUCCGUGGCUCCUCCUCCUCGCGCCCUCGCUGCGUCGCCGCCGUUGCCCGCCCUCCUCGCAGCGCCGCCGCCGCCACCCGCUCUCCUCGCUGCGUCGCCGUCGCCUGCUCCUCUCACACCCAGCUGGAUCGCCGUGCCUUCUUCUCGCCGUCGUGGUGAGCUUGUGGGGGUCGGAUGAUGAGCUCGCCAUGGCGGAGACCAACCACCACCUCUUGUGUGCUGCAUUGAGUUGACCAGCCGAGCUUUCUCGGAGAAAGAAAAAAAAAAGGAGAAGGGAGAGGCAUCUGGUUCCUCCUUAACGCCGUGGGACUAAAUCCGGUGGAGGGCAGGCCGUGGUCACCGGAUCUGGCAGCCACGACCUCCUCGCCGGCAGAUCCGGUCAUCCGGAGGCGAGGGCUAGCACAUUGAGGUUCAUUGCAAGUGUCGACGUCGGCCGUUCCUUCAGAGUGAUCCAGGUUGGCUUUUGGCUGUCGAAUCAGUUGAUGGUGAGUUCUUGGUCGCUUGAUUUAGCGGCACCGGGCUCGUCGAUGACAGAUCGGGCGGCGCUGAGGAGGAUGAAGUUCCCGUCCACUCCCGCGUCCUCUGCUGGAAGCCUUCUUCGCCGGGAGGAUUCCUGCGCGGGAUGCGGCGGUGCUGAUCCCGGUGUACGGAUCCUGGGCGUGAUUCGGUGAGCUGAGAACUGGUUUGCUGCUGCUGCGGCGUGCGCCAUGGAUGGCGACGCGGAUGCCGUGGUGAAUGGCCGCCCGAAAUGCACCGCAACUCGUGGGUGGAUCUUGCGGAGGAGAGUCCAGAUUUUGAUUUUUGGUUUUGUGGGUGAUCUGUUCCGCAAAAGUCGGGGAGGCACGGGAGCGGGCAGGCGUGCCAGAUCUUAGGUGACGGAGGGCGACGUCUGCGGCUUCCCGGUGUGCCGCCCCUGCUAUGAGUACGAGCGAAAGGAUGGCGCCCAGGCUUGCCCCCAGUGCAAGACCAAGUACAAGCGCCACAAAGAAAAAAAAAAGUCUGGAUCUCUAGAGGAGGCUGACGAACUGAAGCGGCAAGGCGAGGCGAUGAGGCUAGGGCCUGGGGAUGGCGAGCACAAGUGGACCUGCUGCGUGCACCUCGACGCUCCUCCAUCUAUCCCGCACACGAACCACCUUAUUUUCUUUCUCCUCCGGAUUUCGGCCGCUCAUCCUCUUCCCUGGUGGAGUAGUUUGAGCUUUGCACUAUGGGUUGGCACUUGCAGGGGCUGAUAACUGGAGGUGUGAUUCUGCUCGUCAGUAGCAGGAAGAAUUCACACAAUUUUCUGUUCAGCAAGGACCUCUUCUUCGUGUAUUGCUUCCACCAAUCAUAUUUAAUGCUGGCUCGGAUAAAAGAAGUGGACACAUACCUUAUCGAGACUCAAAGUUGACACGCAUUCUCCAGCUUUCUUUGGGUGGAAAUGCAAGAGCAUCCAUCAUCUGUACCAUGAGUCCAGCGCAAACACAUGUAGAACAAUCUAGAAAUACGUACUCUAUUCUUUGCAACCUGUGCCAAGGAGGUUACAAAUAAUGCAAAAGUUAAUAUGGUGGUAUCAGAUAAGCAAUUGGUGAAGCACCUUCAGAUAGAAGUUGCUAGACUUGAAACUGAACUGAGAAUCCCUGAUCGUGCCUCCUCUUCUGAGAUCAUUAUAAUGGAAAGGAACAGGAAGAUUAGACAGCAGGUGGAAAAAGAAAUGGAGGAACUCAAGAAGCAACGAGACAAUGCACAGUCGAAACUUGAAUUACAGAAGAAGAUGGGUGAUAAUCAGCCAUAAGGCUUCGGGGUGGCCAGGGGGCGACGGAGGUAGCAAGCACCCUGACUGGCCAGCGGAAAACGAGGAACAUAUAUAGCAGUGGCAGCGGGAGAUGUGGGAGGGCCAGCGCCGAAGAGGAUCGUGAAGCCGACGAGCCGCGUGAAACACAUGCUUGGAGCCGAUCCAAGCAAAUUGCUCGAUUCGUGGCAUGUUUUGCUGAGUCUAAGCAUGACGUACUUAUCAAGAUGGGUGUGUGCAAUGCAAGGCAAUGAUGCACAAAAUCCAUCCUCGAUUCUUAAGUUAAAAGUGUUCCAAGUCCCAUGCUCCUUGGUACAUGCUUCAACUAGGCAGCCCGAAGACUCCGGGAAGCUCUCUCGGGUGCCCAGAGGACCAUUUCUAGGGGCCCCAAGGCCAAGCUCUACGCCUUCCACUUGCAAGCCCAAAAACUCAGGAGACUCCGUCAAACCUCCUAGGGUGCUCGGAGGGCCAUUGCUCGGGGGCUGUGGCCUUUUUGUUUGGGAAUAAGUUCAUCUAAGGUCCCUUAACUUGUCAACCAAUCCGAUUUACGUCCUUCAACUGCAAAACUAGAUACAACGGGUCCCUCAGCUAUCAAAACCGGUGCAGAUUAGGUCCCUCGGCGGUUUCGAUAGCGGUUUUGGCGCCUACGUGGCUAAUUCGAUCUGACAUGGCACCGAUGUGGGCGCUUACGUGGCAAUUUGAUCCGAAAAAAGGACCCAUAUGUCAGUUUCACACACAUUAAUAAAAGAAUGGUGGGGCCCACGUUGGCCCCACAUGUCUCCC
Oryza sativa Japonica Group (Japanese rice) is the source of this 2619-nucleotide non-coding RNA. The record is from RefSeq and is a predicted model, not a curated record. Lineage: Eukaryota; Viridiplantae; Streptophyta; Magnoliopsida; Poales; Poaceae.